Molecule: ribosomal RNA, 449 nt
Filed under: uncultured bacterium
Lineage: Bacteria
Description: partial 16S ribosomal RNA
Rfam family: Bacterial small subunit ribosomal RNA
Source: RNAcentral
CUACGGGGCGCAGCAGUGGGGAAUAUUGCGCAAUGGGCGAAAGCCUGACGCAGCAACGCCGCGUGAGUGAUGAAGGCCUUCGGGUCGUAAAGCUCUGUCGGGAGGGAAGAACACCUUCGGGUCUGACGGUACCUCCCGAGGAAGCACAGGCUAACUCCGUGCCAGCAGCCGCGGUAAUACGGAGUGUGCAAGCGUUGUUCGGAAUUACUGGGCGUAAAGCGCGCGUAGGCGGCUUGAUAAGUCAGAUGUGAAAUCCCUCGGCUUAACCGAGGAACUGCAUUUGAAACUGUCAGGCUUGAGUACGGGAGGGGGAAGCGGAAUUCCCAGUGUAGAGGUGAAAUUCGUAGAUAUUGGGAGGAACACCAGCGGCGAAGGCGGCUUCCUGGACCGAUACUGACGCUGAGGCGCGAAAGCGUGGGGAGCAAACAGGAUUAGAUACCCGGGUAGUC